This 253-nucleotide ribosomal RNA is filed under the name uncultured bacterium. Its description in RNAcentral is "partial 16S ribosomal RNA". It matches the Rfam family "Bacterial small subunit ribosomal RNA", at positions 524 to 776 of the family's 1533-position model. The record is from RNAcentral.
UACGGAGUGUGCAAACGUUGCUCGGAAUCAUUGGGCGUAAAGCGCACGUAGGUGGCUUGUUAAGUCGGGUGUGAAAUCCCUGGGCUCAACCCAGGAAGUGCACUCGAAACUGGCGAGCUUGAGUACUGAAGAGGGUCGCGGAAUUCCCGGUGUAGAGGUGAAAUUCGUAGAUAUCGGGAGGAACACCAGUGGCGAAGGCGGCGACCUGGGCAGAUACUGACACUGAGGUGCGAAAGCGUGGGGAGCAAACAGG